GACGAACGCUGGCGGCGUGCUUAACACAUGCAAGUCGAACGGUAAGGCCCUUCGGGGUACACGAGUGGCGAACGGGUGAGUAACGCGUGAGUAACCUGCCCUUCACUCUGGGAUAACAGUUGGAAACGGCUGCUAAUACCGGAUAUUCAGCUCCUGUCGCAUGGUGGGGGUUGGAAAGUUUUGGUGGUGGAGGAUGGGCUCGCGUCCUAUCAGCUUGUUGGUGGGGUGAUGGCCUACCAAGGCGUCGACGGGUAGCCGGCCUGAGAGGGCGACCGGCCACAUUGGGACUGAGAUACGGCCCAAACUCCUACGGGAGGCAGCAGUGGGGAAUAUUGCACAAUGGGCGGAAGCCUGAUGCAGCAACGCCGCGUGCGGGAUGACGGCCUUCGGGUUGUAAACCGCUUUCAGCAGGGACGAAGCGUGAGUGACGGUACCUGCAGAAGAAGCACCGGCUAACUACGUG
Molecule: ribosomal RNA, 463 nt
Filed under: uncultured bacterium
Lineage: Bacteria
Description: bacterial SSU rRNA
Rfam family: Bacterial small subunit ribosomal RNA
Source: RNAcentral